Sphaeramia orbicularis (orbiculate cardinalfish) is the source of this 181-nucleotide long non-coding RNA. RefSeq lists it as uncharacterized. The record is from RefSeq and is a predicted model, not a curated record. The transcript has 2 exons. NCBI's taxonomy places the organism in Eukaryota, Metazoa, Chordata, Actinopteri, Kurtiformes, Apogonidae.
GGUAGAUGUUUGGGUCUUUAUGGGUUAAAAACACAUUACUUUACAGGUUUUGAUAAAACACCUUGUUUCAGUGUUUGAAUCAGUUGUCUUUAAAUGAUGGUUUGAGUGAAAUGGAUGGUUUUAUCACUAGUCUGUCAUUUAGCAACAUUCGUGCGGGGGUUCAAAAAUUCUGCCUCUGUAA